RNAcentral lists this ribosomal RNA (744 nucleotides) under uncultured archaeon. RNAcentral's name for it is "bacterial SSU rRNA". It matches the Rfam family "Archaeal small subunit ribosomal RNA", at positions 325 to 1075 of the family's 1478-position model. The record is from RNAcentral.
ACGGGGUGCAGCAGGCGCGAAACCUCCGCAAUACACGAAAGUGUGACGGGGUUACCCAAAGUGUUCUAUUUAGAACUGUGGUAGGUGAGUAAUGUUCCCUACUAGAAAGGAGAGGGCAAGGCUGGUGCCAGCCGCCGCGGUAAAACCAGCUCUUCAAGUGGUCGGGAUAAUUAUUGGGCUUAAAGUGUCCGUAGCCGGUUUAGUAAGUUCCUGGUAAAAUCGGGUAGCUUAACUAUCUAUAUGCUAGGAAUGCUGCUAUACUAGAGGGCGGGAGAGGUCUGAGGUACUACAGGGGUAGGGGUGAAAUCUUAUAAUCCUUGUAGGACCACCAGUGGCGAAGGCGUCAGACUGGAACGCGCCUGACGGUGAGGGACGAAAGCCAGGGGAGCGAACCGGAUUAGAUACCCGGGUAGUCCUGGCCGUAAACGAUGCAUACUAGGUGAUGGCACGGCCAUGAGCCGUGUCAGUGCCGUAGGGAAACCGUUAAGUGUGCCGCCUGGGAAGUACGGUCGCAAGGCUAAAACUUAAAGGAAUUGGCGGGGGAGCACCACAAGGGGUGAAGCCUGCGGUUCAAUUGGACUCAACGCCGGAAAACUUACCAGGGGAGACAGCAGUAUGACGGUCAGGUUGACGACCUUACCUAACGAGCUGAGAGGAGGUGCAUGGCCGUCGCCAGUUCGUGCCGUGAGGUAUCCUGUUAAGUCAGGCAACGAACGAGAUCCGCACCUUUAUUUGCCACCAAGA